UUUGUGAAUCGUGGUGAUUUGGCCGGCCGGCUUGCAGCCACGUUAAAAAACUCGCUAAAAGGCCGUGGCUCGCCCCGG
This 78-nucleotide non-coding RNA is filed under the name Rhodomicrobium vannielii. The record is from RNAcentral. RNAcentral also lists the same sequence under 1 other name. Lineage: Bacteria; Pseudomonadati; Pseudomonadota; Alphaproteobacteria; Hyphomicrobiales; Hyphomicrobiaceae.